Haplochromis burtoni (Burton's mouthbrooder) is the source of this 1217-nucleotide long non-coding RNA. RefSeq lists it as uncharacterized. NCBI's taxonomy places the organism in Eukaryota, Metazoa, Chordata, Actinopteri, Cichliformes, Cichlidae. The transcript is spliced from 2 exons. The record is from RefSeq and is a predicted model, not a curated record.
ACCAAUUUGCCAUGGGAGACCCUACCAGGGGGCAAAAGCCCCCAGACAACAUAGCCCCUGGGAUCCCUGGGACACACAAACCCCUCCACCACGGUAAGGUAGUGAUUCACGGAGAGGACUAUCAGCUUCAGUUAACUCUAAAUGCUCAUUUAAAAACAAUGCAUGGUGACACACUAAAAAGAUGUAAAUAUUAUCUAAAAUUUUAACCUUCUCAUCUUUACUUUGCAAAAAUACAGAAGAAAUGUGUCCUUGAGCGUAUUCAACUGUACUUGUGUUACUUUGCAGUGUCUCAAAUCACAUGAAGCCCAGUCUGGAGCUUCUUUGAUGCUCCAUGUCUGAGUGGAAAGAAAUCACUGCUCUGUUUUGUUUUACAUUUUCACCUUCUGCCCGUCUCUUCUCACUGCAGCUCAGUGUGCCUCCAGUUCUCCAGUCUCCCCAGCAAACAUAGUUUCUCCCCCUUCCUCGGCUGACUUUCCCAUCUCAACCCACACCAUGAAGGUGUGAUUCUCACAAGUUCAAGCCCUGGGCGCUGUUAAGGUUGAUGGAGCAUCUUUCUGAGGAUUGACUCAAAAAACUGGAAAGUCUCAGAAAAUGGAAAAAGAAAGACCAAAUUUUUACAACAAAAUCAUUUAAAUAUGUCAAAUUAAAUUUCUGGGAGGUAAUAACAAUUUGAAAUCCAAAAGAAUGGGGUAAGACUCAUGAACUCAAGACUCCUCCUGUUAUAUAUGCACUGUAAUGACAAAGGAACACUUCAGAUUACUUAGCAUACUUCUUUUUCUUUUAGCUCAGGAUAUAUCCUACAAAGUAGAAAUUACUGAAAAACUAACAAGGGAACAUAGCAUAUAAGAAGCUCUCGCUGAAGAUCAACUAUGAAAAAAAGCUACAGAGAGUAUGAAGAGAGACAGUUUCUAAGAGUGUGAUGUAAAUGAAUCUAAAGAUGCAUCUGGGCCCUGAAAGCCAAAGUUGAAGAACCAACCAGCCCAACUACUAGCCUGUGAAGCUCAGUGAGGAGUGAGGCUAUGGAUAUUUAUUCACACUGGUUGAAGUCUUUGGAAAGUUUCGUGUAACAGAAUCACAUUUUCUUUACGGUCAGAUGCUGUGUAAAAUGCAAAUAAAAACAGAAUGUAAUGAUUUACAAACAAAUUAAUUACGUUUAUGAAAACGGUACAAGAAAAACUAUAUAUAAUAAAAAGGAGAAAUUUUUUUGAAAAGAAGAA